Molecule: unclassified non-coding RNA, 1352 nt
Filed under: Hevea brasiliensis (rubber tree)
Lineage: Eukaryota; Viridiplantae; Streptophyta; Magnoliopsida; Malpighiales; Euphorbiaceae
Source: RNAcentral
ACACUGUCGUUUUAGUCUAUGUUCCCUCACCGUCUCUCCACGAUUUCUUAAUUCCUUUUUCUGGUUCACUCUUCAUUCUCAGUGACCCGCUCACGGUAGUUGGCGAUUGGCCUCUUACUGGUCGUUGCCUCGCGAUACUCCUGAGCCAAGUCCACUCCUCUCGAUCCUGAUUGGCGAUCUCACUCAUCCUUCGCUGCCAGAACCUGAGUUCGAGGCUUCAAGCUCAGCUCCGUGCACCCUCAUUAGAAUAACCUUUUGCUGCGCCAUUUUUUUUUUCCUUAAAAACCCUUGCUUUUCCCCUAAAGAUUUUCUUUUUUCAAUUGGUAAACAAUUUUACCCUCUUGGAGUACCUCAACUUGGCAUGUUAAGAGAUUUCUCUUGGGCAGCCAGACCACUUCCAAUUUCUGUUAAUAUUAGACAGCAGAUUCAACGAUUAAGAUAUCUGCAGAUGGAGGAAGAGUCACAGACGCAGACACCAAAAGAAGUCCAUGUUCACUUUAAUCACACAGAUUCUUGCAAGUUUUCCAGAUGGACAGCCAGGGAGAGCUUUCAAUUCAUGUAUGCAAGGCCUUGGCAAGAAGUUGUUGAAUUUUAUUCGAAUGUGGUGAACGGGCACUCGUCAUUGUUAGAGUUGUUUGGAACUCAGAUGCCUUUUGUUCAUGAUGAUGUAAAAAUUCAAGAGAUCUCCUGUAAGACUCAAUUAGACGAUUCUUCAAAUAAAGAAAAGUUUGGUAGGUGGGCAAGAGUAACAUUCAAGAUAGUUCUUUCAUAUAACGGGGGAUCAUUUGAUGGGUGGCAGAAACAGCCUGGCUUGAACACUGUCCAGGGCUUAGUAGAAAGGUCGCUUGGGAGAUUUAUUGAUGAGAAGAAAUCUCAACAACUAAAGGACAAGUGUAAACCCCUUGAAGGUUGUGCUGUGGUAGCUGGGCGCACGGACAAAGGUGUCUCAGCUCUUCGACAAAUUUGUUCGUUCUGUACGUGAUUAUAUUAACUUUUUUUCCUUUGAGUUCUGUUAUUUUAUAUUUAACUUGUAUAGUUAUUAUUUUUAAUAAAUCCUUGCCUUCAGUCACUUGAUAAUAAGUUUACCAUUUUAAUUAUUGACUCACUGUAUUGGUAAAAUUUAGUGUGGUGUGCUUUGUAAACAUUUUUCUAUUAAAGUAAUUUUAAUCAAAGUCCAAUUCUUCUCUUGCCUGGAGGUUUUAAUGUCUUGAAUAAUGAAUGCAAUUUUUUAUCUUAAUGAUCUGCUACUUUAAUGUUCAAUUGAAAAAUCUGUAUCUGCUGAUGUUGAAGUAUUGAUGGAAUUUUUUGGAUAUUGCAAAUAGAAAAAUGAAUUUAAACAGUAUUAGUUCUUC